AGUGAACGCUGGCGGUAGGCCUAACACAUGCAAGUCGAACGGCAGCACCGUAAGAGCUUGCUCUUACGGGUGGCGAGUGGCGGACGGGUGAGGAAUACAUCGGAAUCUACUUUUUCGUGGGGGAUAACGUGGGGAAACUUACGCUAAUAUCGCAUACGACCUACGGUUGAAAGCAGGGGAUCUUCGGACCUUGCGCGAUUGAAUGAGCCGAUGUGGGAUUAGCUAGUUGGCGGGGUAAAGGCCCACUGAGGCGCCGAUCCGUAGCUGGUCUGGGAGGAGGAUGCCCCACUCAGAAACUGAGACACGACCCAGGGACCUACGGAAGGCAGAGAUGGCGAAGGUAGGCAGAUGGGGGCAAGCCUGAACAAGCGGUGCCAGGUGGAUGAAGAAGGCCUGCGGGUGGUAAAGCCCUUUUGUUGGGAAAAAAAAGCUGCAGGUUAAAACCACGCUGUUCGAACGGUACCGAAAGAAUAGGCACCGGCUAAUUUCGU
RNAcentral lists this ribosomal RNA (491 nucleotides) under uncultured bacterium. RNAcentral's name for it is "partial 16S ribosomal RNA". It matches the Rfam family "Bacterial small subunit ribosomal RNA", at positions 29 to 506 of the family's 1533-position model. The record is from RNAcentral.